UGGGCACAAGACGCCUGAACCUGGUA
This 26-nucleotide non-coding RNA is filed under the name Mus musculus (house mouse). The record is from RNAcentral. Lineage: Eukaryota; Metazoa; Chordata; Mammalia; Rodentia; Muridae.